UAGGGUGAAUGACAUCACCAAGAAAUCUGAGAUGUCAAGUGAAGCAGUGACACAAGCUCUGUGAAGUUUAGUGUGUUUUUGUCACGCCGUAAAUACAGUAGUCAGUGCAAGGCACUAACAUCACUGCUCAACAAAGAAGUUUGACUCUCGCGAAAUGAUAAGAUUGCUAAGAUAGAAUAGAUCUUUUGUAAUUGAUGUUUGAAUUUGAAUCAUUUGCAAACUUGGCCUAGUUUUACUGUGUUUUUUUUUCAGUUAAGAUUGUAUUUAAGAUUUUGUCUUUCUUUUCAAUGUUGUUGAUUGUCAAUAUUGUGUACCAGCUGAUUGAGUGACCUCUUGGAGAGUGAGGUUGUUCUAGUUACUACAAAAUUUUGCGAUAAACAGAGGCCCGUACUCAACUUAGAUUUCAAUGUUAUCUUUUUGAAUGCUCCGAAACUCAUGAUAUUUCCCUUUUCUACUCAGAAGCCAUGACAACGAUGCAAAUAGAAGUCACAAACCUGAAAACAUCUAACGUCAGGUUGAAGUGCUGCCUCCAAUCAGUAAACACACCGUGGGGAGGGUUAAAAUACAAAUCAUGCUACAAGGAGCAGAAGAGGCUACAACUCAAGGAUGACCACCCUCCACAGAGGGAUGAUGAGCUCAUGGACUUGUAGGGGUGGGUACCAGCCAGAAAAUUCAGGUCCGGUUCAGGUCCAGAGGACCAGGUCCAGGUCAUAUAUAACAUGAGGAGAUCCGACAGCUGAAGAGCCAAGUCGCUGGGCUGGAAUCGGAAAUGGGGCGAUACAGGGGACACUGCGACAGGCCAUCCUGGGUUACCUCUGGGACACAGUUCGGACUAUAGAGAGCGGUGCGCAUAUGAUGUACCAUCAGUUGAUGACAUCGAUCAUUUCGUGUAUCUGCUUGACAGGAUUAUAUUCAUUUGUGCAAGUACAACAAGAGAGACAUGUAUCUCAGAUGAUUUGAUGGGCAAGCUGUAUGCCUUGCAACAAUCUUUCUGCAAUAUGUUAUCAAGGGAAGAACCUCCACCACGUCUUGCAGUACAGCGGUUAGAAAGGGGCAGGCAUCGGUACAUAAUACUACCAAACUUUAUCGAAAGCCUGUUAGAACUCCAAUUCAGAGUGCCUGUAAUUUUUGCCAUGCUGAUUGUCAGUCCGUCCACUGUUUUCCGCAGGAUGCGGGAGUUACAUAACAGCUAAUCAGGCAUAAUAGUCAGUCAUAUCGAUAUUCAUUAUUGCCUUGUAUACGUGUGUAUAAACACACGGCUAUGGCCGGUUUACUAUCUGUUCAUUCAUUUGCCAGAAUAAAGAAACAAACGGAUCUGCAAACACACAGGGCUUCAGAUUUACUUGAUUUGCUUAUUAAGGAGUGACUAAACAAUAAUUUUGAAAGCCAAAAACAGAUCAGGUACCACACAGUUAAGAACCACAGGGUGAAGAAACGACGCAGAUACGUAGCUUUUCUAUUUUGCCGAUCAAAUUACGACAGUUAGGAAGGCAAAAAAAGAUGACAAGGGAUAUCAAUUGCAAUUAUAACUUCCGCAAACGUUGACAUUUUAGUUGCAGAAUGCAGGUCAAGAAGAACCUAAACUAAUCUUCAACGAAUAAAUCAUGGCAGUUAAUGCUAAAAAAAUCUAAACGGAACAUGCGGAGCCAGUACCCCCACUUACAUACAUCAGUCAUUACUGCGUCAAUGAAUUAAUUAAAACGUAUUCGCACUAAAAUAAGAUCACAAUGUCACACAUAGAUGUGCAUGAAAUAUAUCUGUGAAUCCGGUGGACUUCCUCUGUGUGCUGAUAUGGCCAAUAAAACAUUCUGACAGACGUGCUUGAGCUGUUUCCUUUAUCCGUUGGUAACGAUGUUAGGGCAGGGAUUUCUAUUGGCGCAUGCGUACAAGGUGCCCGGUGAGUGUAGUACAGGAAUGUAGUACAGGGUAUAUAACAAUAAAACUUCUUUUUCUUUGAAGAUGUGGUGCCUUUUUUGUCAUUUUUGAGGUUAAUGUUAUAGGUUAGGAUUACUAGUCAAUAAUUUUGGCCCAAAACUGUGUUUUGAAAGGGUUUGGAGACCACUAGGAAAAGUAGUCCCAAGAGGUGUGAUCAGGUUAAUUCUUGGAUGCUUGAGGUCAAAGGUCAGGUUUCCGUCUGUUUAUGGAGGUUUAAAUUUUAAAGAGCCGUGUGGAAAUUGUCAGAAACUGGCUUUUAGACACUUCAGGAGGUGGGCUAUCCUGUCGAGGUGAGUUUUCAUGGACUUUUAGUCAUAGAGGUGAGAUUUUGGCACCCUCUUUCUGUGGUUAUUUGAGUACCAUACUAGAACAUAUUUGGUAAAGCAUGCCCGUUAUCGGGUUUCAAGUGUUCCCGCGCUAUGGAAUCUGGUUGGGUAAUUAAAACAAUCAUAAAAUGCAUCACGUUACCAACUCAAUUAGAACGAAAUCUAUGACAGAAAAUUGGAAUUAUGUUUAAGUGAGAAUCCGUUUGUGGAGUCUAGUGUCAAUAUUUUUUCAUAGAGUAUUAAAAUGCCACCAUACUUGAUUUUUGUGUCUCAAUCAGUUGCGACAAUAAAUGCGUUUUGUGGUAGUACCAAUCAGCAUUCUUCUUUCAGAUGAUUGGCAGAAGAUUUCCCGCCUAAACUGGUAACUAAUAAGACGACGCAAUCAUUUUGUUUUUAGUCUGAGGGUUGUGAUUGUGUUAGAAUAAGCCUCCUGAUAAGCUUAUGAAGUCAGCGUCUUUUAUGGGCGUCGCGCUGAAUGUGCACAGCUUUGUCUCGGCUUCGAUUUUUUUUCAUUAUUGAGCCACAUAGCGUACAUUGUAUGCAUUGGAAUAUUUUUCAGCGUCAGAAAUAUUCUGGGAUAACCUGAAAUUUACAACUGCCAUACAAUAGCUACUUAAACUGUCCUUAUGCAUACACGAUUUACCUUUUACACAUACUGAAAUAAGAUGCUUUUCUGUCAGGUGAGAGCACGAGAGUUAUGGUGUGGUCUUUUCUUGUUGUCGGAGUCCCUCCCUUAUCUUCAGCGCGGUUUCUGUUCUUAGCCUGGUGUACAUUAACCAUGUAGCGUUAAUGUGCCAAGCGUCCACGUGUUUGCAUAUUUGUGCCGUAUAAGAUUUGAAGUCUUGCCCGUUCAUUUAGUUUUGUGUUUUUGUCUAUUUACGUUAAGUUCGCAGAGCUUGUGGUUCCCAUCAUAAAGAUGAAGAGCGGGCCAUAAUAGUAGCAUUUUUCCCCUUGUUAGAAACACCAGGCUUCGGCAACGAACGAUAUAAUAGUCGAAGCUGGGGUUAUGAAUGCUGCCCGAGAAAUUCCCCACCCAUUUUGGAAAUCCCCUACCUCACAUUGUUACUCGCAGCAGCUGGGGACAAGUAGUGGGUGUAAACAAAUGUAAUUUCUAUUCUCGGCAGUUAUUUUUUCUGCUAUGAUCAACCUUGUCACAUCGACGUAUGGCAUCGAUGUUGAUGGAGGAACACGGUGUCUUGUGAUACGGUUGGUCAUAGUUCAAUGGAAGCUGGCGAUUGUAAACGCCGGAAAAAGUAGUUAGCCAAGUCUCUGCUUACGAUCAAAAUCUUCCGUUAUUAUUGCUUAUAUUAUUAUUGCUAUGAUUUGUGUACGAUUUAAGACCUGCUGCAGCAGAUAUGUAUUUCAUCAUAGCUCCUAUCUUACUAUGACCCAGGGGUUGAUGGUAGUACCAGGGGUUACCAGAAUUUGGUUUAUACUUGACAUUUACCCUUUGGAACAAAUAGUGUCACUUAGAAGUAUCUGAAAGCUUUCUAGAGUAUUGCUCAAAUGCUUUGACAGUGUACCACUACCAGUGUCCAUCUCAUACAUUUGUGAUGUUGGCUGUGUACUAUCAUCGACCAAAUGCCCUGGAUGAUUCUUCAGGUGUUCGUUGUGUUUCAGCGUGUAAUAUUUCUUCACACCAUCAUCCUUCAGGAUGAAAUCACUGACUUUCAGCUCCCUCAUUGAGUCAAGUUCUCCCUUCCCCUACGACACAGGAAGAAAGCUAUAUAGAAAUACACAAGUCACUACAGAGCGAGUGGAUAAUGCAUGCCGAUAGUGCCUGUGUCAAACAUAUUGAUCAUAUCACUGGGGAGGAUUGGUGAAAAAGACUUCGCGGUGUCAAGUCCGUUUCUGCGUAGCUUCUUUGUUUAUUCUUUAUUUAAGCAGGGUGUAAGCAUUUCAAAGCCCCAUUCAUGUUAAUACAACUCGUCCAGGGGAAGCCUAGUCUCCAUAUGGAUUGUAUUCAGAUCAAUUCCAAAAAAGGACAUGAUUGUGUUCACCGAGUUAUAUAGCCAACUUUUGGACACAUCUCGCAAAGGAGUUUAGUCUCUUUCACAUCGGUAGAGAGUCGUAUACAGCCUGGUGUAAAGGAUUUGAUUUGAUUUAUUCGGCAUCGAUCCAUUUUGUCCUAAAGUUGUCUUUUUUUGACACAGGCUCAGUAUUGUCAGUUGCAAUUAUUUAUUGAGUAGAACAUCUAAAUGUGCAAUUUGGCUUUAAAACAAUAAGAGAUUGAGUUUUGAGUUUUGCGUCUUGUAUUGAAGUACCGCUCCGCCCACGGGGACUAUCUGUCAGCUACAUGGGGGCUACCGCUAUCUAUGUUGUGUAUCACUGCAGAGCAUUCUGUCAAGAACCUUGUAUGAAGUACAGAUAUUCCAGUUCUAGUUUAUCAAACAUUCCAAAAUAUGUUUUAUGGGAAUCAAUCUGACCAUUAAACACAUGAAGACAUGAAGAUGAAUAAACCAAAGUACACUAUUUCUAGCGGUCAGUGGUCCUGUUUAAAUCUGUCAAUCGUGUUUUGCGAAGAUUGUAUUA
This is a long non-coding RNA of Branchiostoma floridae (Florida lancelet), 4793 nucleotides long. RefSeq lists it as uncharacterized. The transcript has 4 exons. NCBI's taxonomy places the organism in Eukaryota, Metazoa, Chordata, Leptocardii, Amphioxiformes, Branchiostomatidae. The record is from RefSeq and is a predicted model, not a curated record.